RNAcentral lists this non-coding RNA (109 nucleotides) under Partenskyella glossopodia. Lineage: Eukaryota; Cercozoa; Chlorarachniophyceae. The record is from RNAcentral.
GAAAUAAUAUAUUAAGAAAAUUAAAAAAAAAAAAAAAAAAAAAAAAAAAAAUCGUAAAAAGGAAGUGCAAGUUUUUUUUUUUUUCCAUAGUAACUUUACUUGGUUUUUU